UAGAAGGUGGGAAGCAGGGCAUUGAGG
RNAcentral lists this non-coding RNA (27 nucleotides) under Mus musculus (house mouse). Lineage: Eukaryota; Metazoa; Chordata; Mammalia; Rodentia; Muridae. The record is from RNAcentral.